This 863-nucleotide long non-coding RNA is filed under the name Bos grunniens (domestic yak). RNAcentral's name for it is "lncRNA (ENSBGRG00000011111.1)". The record is from RNAcentral. Lineage: Eukaryota; Metazoa; Chordata; Mammalia; Artiodactyla; Bovidae.
AGGUGGAGGAAGACAUAAGAGGAGCUUGGAGCAGGAGCCGGCCUCUGCCUUCCCGGUGGCAGCCCCAGAAGAAACACAGAGGACCACAUCCCCAAGGGAGACGCCUCGUGGAUUUCUGCUAGAAGGCUGGCAAUGGGUCCCAAUCUGAGUUUUAAAAAAUUUUAGGGGACAAGCAAAGGCCCUUAGAUGAUGACCCCCUUGGUUGUUCAGCCAACGGGCAGGAGACCCAGCAGAUGUUUUGGAGCCUUUGCCAAAAAAUCAGCAGGAGUCAUCCUUGGCCGUGGACUGAAGGGCGGGAGGUGGGGGCAGGGCAGCCAAAAGCCCUGGAGGCUAGAGUUUCUCCUGACUAUUCUACCACCAGAACAGGAAUGGAAAAAGCUACGAAGGGCUGCAGAGGGUCCAGAAGAAACCCUGGGGGGAAAGCCGAAUUUCUGUGUGCAGAGCGUUCAGGAAGUUCAGAAUGGAGCUGCAUGCGCAACUGGAUGGGGCCCUUGGUUUGGACCCCACGAGUGGCUCCUCCAUGGAUCUUUCAGGACCAAAGGGCCCUGGAGGACAGCAGGGUCUCCGUUCAGUCUGCCCACACUCUCCGCUCCUUCUGGGAUCUCACUGGGGAGUCGCCUCUGCCUCCUCUAGGGGUCUGGCAUCUGCUGUCACAAACCGGCCGGUCUUGGAUGCUGCAGUGGGGACAGAAAGAAGACCGAUUUUGUCCUCAGCACGCUCAGAGACAGGUGUGGGCAGGUGACACCCGCCUAUGCACGAGGAGACACGUGCAAGAAUGUGAGAAUGGUAACAAAGCUAAAAAUAAAGCCAAAGAAAACCAGCUUGAAAUGUCCCUGCGAAGUGUGGUUGUGCUUAAAGAUUUU